GGAUGUGAGGGCGAUCUGGCUGCGACAUCUGUCACCCCAUUGAUCGCCAGGGUUGAUUCGGCUGAUCUGGCUGGCUAGGCGGGUGUCCCCUUCCUCCCUCACCGCUCCAUGUGCGUCCCUCCCGAAGCUGCGCGCUCGGUGGAAGAGGACGACCAUCCCAGAUAGAAGGAGUGUACCGUUCUUCGGUCAAGGGUAUAUUGUAA
Non-coding RNA from Podarcis lilfordi (Lilford's wall lizard), 203 nucleotides. The record is from the annotation of a GenBank genome assembly. Lineage: Eukaryota; Metazoa; Chordata; Lepidosauria; Squamata; Lacertidae.